CAGCAGCCGCGGGAAUACGAAGGGUGCAAGCGUUAAUCGGAAUUACUGGGCGUAAAGCGUGCGUAGGCGGUUUGUUAAGUCUGUUGUGAAAUCCCCGGGCUCAACCUGGGAAUGGCAAUGGAUACUGGCAAGCUAGAGUGUGUCAGAGGAUGGUGGUAUUCCCGGUGUAGCGGUGAAAUGCGUAGAGAUCGGGAGGAACAUCAGUGGCGAAGGCGGCCAUCUGGGACAACACUGACGCUGAGGCACGAAAGCGUGGGGAGCAAACAGGAUUAGACACCCGUAGUCCCUGUCUCUUAUACAC
Molecule: ribosomal RNA, 301 nt
Filed under: uncultured bacterium
Lineage: Bacteria
Description: partial 16S ribosomal RNA
Rfam family: Bacterial small subunit ribosomal RNA
Source: RNAcentral